UGUAGAGGUUGUAGAGCAACAUAAAAUUAACAAUCACAAUAAUUGAAGAAAUGUAGACAAAGUGCUACAAUAGUGGUGGCAGCGAUGUUGUUUUCGGAUGGAUCUCGCCGGCCACAACUUCGGCGAGACAGCCAUGGUGUUGUGAUUACAUCGCAAGAGAGGGGCGGUGCGUGGUGCACUUGGUAGUUGGAAACUCGCCUACUGGCAGCCAAAUCCGGCAAGGCA
RNAcentral lists this long non-coding RNA (225 nucleotides) under Capsicum annuum. RNAcentral's name for it is "long non-coding RNA (CANN_LNC011811)". Lineage: Eukaryota; Viridiplantae; Streptophyta; Magnoliopsida; Solanales; Solanaceae. The record is from RNAcentral.